This 105-nucleotide non-coding RNA is filed under the name Chloroflexota bacterium. Its description in RNAcentral is "Chloroflexi bacterium c-di-GMP sequence". It matches the Rfam family "c-di-GMP-I riboswitch aptamer". From Rfam's summary of the family: GEMM was predicted in a large-scale screen for bacterial structured RNA regulatory elements. Lineage: Bacteria; Bacillati; Chloroflexota. The record is from RNAcentral.
CAGCGAUAAUAGCAAACCAGGUGAAAACCUGGGACGCAAAGUACUGGGUCUAAGGCUAUGUGCAGCCGUGAUCGAUAAAGUCCACAAUGACUGCCUGUUGGAAUA